CAGCAGCCGCGGGAAUACGAACCGUGCGAACGUUAUUCGGAAUCACUGGGCUUAAAGCGCGUGUAGGCGGGCCGGCACGUCGGUCGUUGAAAUCCCCGGGCUCAACCGGGGAAGUGGCGCCGAUACGACCGGCCUGGAGGAACGUAGGGGGAGCUGGAACUUCCGGUGGAGCGGUGAAAUGCGUUGAGAUCGGAAGGAACGCCCGUGGCGAAAGCGAGCUCCUGGACGUUUUCUGACGCUGAGACGCGAAAGCCAGGGGAGCGAACGGGAUUAGAUACCCCAGUAGUCCCUGUCUCUUAUA
This 301-nucleotide ribosomal RNA is filed under the name uncultured bacterium. Its description in RNAcentral is "partial 16S ribosomal RNA". It matches the Rfam family "Bacterial small subunit ribosomal RNA", at positions 509 to 807 of the family's 1533-position model. The record is from RNAcentral.